UUGAUAAAAGCCUCUCAGAUUAGCCAAGAAUGACACCUAAAAUCCAUUUAUAAGGAUAUAGGAUCAAAUAAUCCUACGUAACAGAUUUUAGGCAAGUCAUCCUUGGCUACCAAAGCAGGUUCUUAUCU
This is a microRNA precursor of Nicotiana attenuata, 128 nucleotides long. Lineage: Eukaryota; Viridiplantae; Streptophyta; Magnoliopsida; Solanales; Solanaceae. The record is from Rfam.